CCGUGGACACUGCCCACGGUGCACCACGGCCACACCCAUAUAAGCUACACCCGACCUCUUCUCUAGCCUCUCCUCGCUCUCCCUCUCCCCCACGAACCUCCCAGACAACAUCCCUCUCCCUCCCAUGCUUUCUUUCCCUCUCCAUAGCCGCCAUGGUCGCCGUCUGCCUCCGCCCGACUCCGUCCAACCAGAGCCUCCCCUCCUCUCCUGUGACCACCAGGAGAAGUGUCGCAGGCCAGCGGAGCCCCCCCCCCCCCCCCCCCCCCGCUCCUUCUCCCCCUUGCCCUUGUGACCACGGCGUUGCGCCUAUCCACUCCAGAUGCCGCCCACCGUCGCCAGGGUAGCAGUCGCCCCAGAUCCUCCCAGCCUGCGCGAAGCCCCUGGAUGGAAGCGGCUCGGCAUCCCGAGUCCGUCGGUGCACCGGACACCACCGGGGACGGCCGGAGUCGCCCGGGAUCAACGUCGGCGUGUGCUCGGCCUCACCUCCCCUGUCGCUCCUCUGCCUCAGGCGCGAGGUAGGGGACGACCACCCCGCCAGCUGGCAGGGGGCCCGCCUGUCAGCAGCAGAGGCGACCGAGCCGGCCCACGAGUCGGGUUAAGUGGACACGGCUUCGCGCGAAUCCGCUUGCCCCGCUGGCUGGCGCACUCACGUAAUGCGCCUUCGGCGUCACCACCUCCCUCGCGCAGCUAAGCCACUGGGCUGAGCCCAGUAGGCGCUGUUUAGCUGUGCUUCGCCCAGUGCGCUUUAUAAGGCAUGGAAGAACAGGAGUUCGAAGAAGAGUUCUUUGGAGACGAACAUGUGAACUAGGACGUUUCCCAGUCAGAAUGCCUGUAGGGUUAAGGCAGAUGGCAUGGGUUCUACUUAUCGACGAAGAUUUCCGCUGCUUAAGUUUAUUUGGUAUUCAGCCUUGUGGUUUUAUCUAUGUAAGACUUGACCAUAAUGGUCAUAAUUUGUGUAAGAAGGUAUGUAUGGACGUAGGACUCUUGUUAUUCAGCUUCUGUGUGUUCAGUGAGCAUUGAUCUCUGGGAUCACUGUACACGUGCAUUCGGUGAUCACGACUUAUGUGUCGGGGUCCCCACAAAUGAUGAGUAAAAUGAAUUUCUA
Molecule: long non-coding RNA, 1105 nt
Organism: Aegilops tauschii subsp. strangulata
Lineage: Eukaryota; Viridiplantae; Streptophyta; Magnoliopsida; Poales; Poaceae
Source: RefSeq, a predicted model, not a curated record